Molecule: ribosomal RNA, 301 nt
Filed under: uncultured bacterium
Lineage: Bacteria
Description: partial 16S ribosomal RNA
Rfam family: Bacterial small subunit ribosomal RNA
Source: RNAcentral
CAGCAGCCGCGGUAAUACAGAGGGUGCGAGCGUUAAUCGGAUUUACUGGGCGUAAAGCGUGCGUAGGCGGCUUCUUAAGUCGGAUGUGAAAUCCCUGAGCUUAACUUAGGAAUUGCAUUCGAUACUGGGAAGCUAGAGUAUGGGAGAGGAUGGUAGAAUUCCAGGUGUAGCGGUGAAAUGCGUAGAGAUCUGGAGGAAUACCGAUGGCGAAGGCAGCCAUCUGGCCUAAUACUGACGCUGAGGUACGAAAGCAUGGGGAGCAAACAGGAUUAGAUACCCGUGUGUCCCUGUCUCUUAUACA